GAGACUGCCGGUGGUCAAACCGGAGGAAGGUGGGGAUGACGUCAAGUCCUCAUGGCCUUUAUGACCAGGGCUACACACGUACUACAAUGGCCGGUACAAAGGGCAGCGACACAGCGGAUGUGAACGCGAAAUCCCGAAAAGCCGGUCUCAGUCCGGAUUGGAGUCUGCAACUCGACUCCAUGAAGUUGGAAUCGCUAGUAAUCGCGUAUCAGCAUGACCGCGGUCGAAUUACCGGUUCCGGCCUU
This 245-nucleotide ribosomal RNA is filed under the name uncultured Desulfocapsa sp. RNAcentral describes it as "partial 16S ribosomal RNA". It matches the Rfam family "Bacterial small subunit ribosomal RNA", at positions 1145 to 1363 of the family's 1533-position model. The record is from RNAcentral. Lineage: Bacteria; Pseudomonadati; Thermodesulfobacteriota; Desulfobulbia; Desulfobulbales; Desulfocapsaceae.